Molecule: ribosomal RNA, 212 nt
Filed under: uncultured Staphylococcus sp.
Lineage: Bacteria; Bacillati; Bacillota; Bacilli; Caryophanales; Staphylococcaceae
Description: partial 16S ribosomal RNA
Rfam family: Bacterial small subunit ribosomal RNA
Source: RNAcentral
CGGGAAACCGGAGCUAAUACCGGAUAAUAUAUUGAACCGCAUGGUUCAAUAGUGAAAGACGGUUUUGCUGUCACUUAUAGAUGGAUCCGCGCCGCAUUAGCUAGUUGGUAAGGUAACGGCUUACCAAGGUAACGAUGCGUAGCCGACCUGAGAGGGUGAUCGGCCACACUGGAACUGAGACACGGUCCAGACUCCUACGGGAGGCAGCAGCA